Non-coding RNA from Heterocephalus glaber (naked mole-rat), 534 nucleotides. The record is from RefSeq and is a predicted model, not a curated record. NCBI's taxonomy places the organism in Eukaryota, Metazoa, Chordata, Mammalia, Rodentia, Bathyergidae.
CACCCAUGCACCUAGCAGAGUCCCUGCCCACCUGGGUCCUCUGCAUCCCACCUUCUCGAUCCACCUGCUCAGCCUGUCAGGAACAGACAUGCGUCUAUUGUCUGCCCAUCUCAUCCAUGCCCACAAGCUCAGACUGGUUCUGCUACAAAUAAUGUGCAUCCUUUUGGCUGGCAACACUUAGUAAAGUUUUAUGCAGCUUUCCUCACCACAUAAUGCUGUCAUUGAAGAGCAAGCUGGACUGACUGGAUGAAGCAGUUAUGAAAUAUACUGUCCAGAAGAGGGAACCAAAAACUCAAAAGAUUUUUUAAAAGGAGCUAUUAAAAUCUCAGACAGUAUUCAAGAGAACAAGAAGAUCCUGUGUGAAACUCAGAACUCUUCUGGGGAGUGUUCCUCCCUUGUUGGCUGCAGAGAACCACACCUGCCCUUUGCGGUGUAAACAAGUACAAUCCUCUGAGAAUCCCAGGUGGUGCACUGGUUUAAAAAAAUAAAUAAGGAGGGGAAGAAGGGUCAAAGGGAGAGGGAGGAAUGGAAGAA